UGUUUCGGCUAGGGGGCCAUCCCGGCUUACCAACCCGAUGCAAACUGCGAAUACCGGAGAAUGUUAUCACGGGAGACACACGGCGGGUGCUAACGUCCGUCGUGAAGAGGGAAACAACCCAGACCGCCAGCUAAGGUCCCAAAGUCAUGGUUAAGUGGGAAACGAUGUGGGAAGGCCCAGACAGCCAGGAUGUUGGCUUAGAAGCAGCCAUCAUUUAAAGAAAGCGUAAUAGCUCACUGGUCGAGUCGGCCUGCGCGGAAGAUGUAACGGGGCUAAACCAUGCACCGAAGCUGCGGCAGCGACACUGUGUGUUGUUGGGUAGGGGAGCGUUCUGUAAGCCUGUGAAGGUGUGUCGUGAGGCAUGCUGGAGGUAUCAGAAGUGCGAAUGCUGACAUAAGUAACGAUAAAGCGGGUGAAAAGCCCGCUCGCCGGAAGACCAAGGGUUCCUGUCCAACGUUAAUCGGGGCAGGGUGAGUCGACCCCUAAGGCGAGGCCGAAAGGCGUAGUCGAUGGGAAACAGGUUAAUAUUCCUGUACUUGGUGUUACUGCGAAGGGGGGACGGAGAAGGCUAUGUUGGCCGGGCGACGGUUGUCCCGGUUUAAGCGUGUAGGCUGGUUUUCCAGGCAAAUCCGGAAAAUCAAGGCUGAGGCGUGAUGACGAGGCACUACGGUGCUGAAGCAACAAAUGCCCUGCUUCCAGGAAAAGCCUCUAAGCAUCAGGUAACAUCAAAUCGUACCCCAAACCGACACAGGUGGUCAGGUAGAGAAUACCAAGGCGCUUGAGAGAACUCGGGUGAAGGAACUAGGCAAAAUGGUGCCGUAACUUCGGGAGAAGGCACGCUGACACGUAGGUGAAGUGAUUUACUCA
RNAcentral lists this ribosomal RNA (867 nucleotides) under Salmonella enterica subsp. enterica serovar Newport. RNAcentral's name for it is "partial 23S ribosomal RNA". It matches the Rfam family "Bacterial large subunit ribosomal RNA", at positions 911 to 1773 of the family's 2925-position model. Lineage: Bacteria; Pseudomonadati; Pseudomonadota; Gammaproteobacteria; Enterobacterales; Enterobacteriaceae. The record is from RNAcentral.